This is a long non-coding RNA of Helianthus annuus (common sunflower), 1540 nucleotides long. RefSeq lists it as uncharacterized. Lineage: Eukaryota; Viridiplantae; Streptophyta; Magnoliopsida; Asterales; Asteraceae. The record is from RefSeq and is a predicted model, not a curated record. The transcript is spliced from 3 exons.
UGCUGAACAAUUAUUCUUAGAAACUUUUAAAGAUUUUCUCUCUCUAGAGAAAAGAACCCUAUUCAUUCCUUAUACCUCUACAUCACCGACAAUUAGGUUCCGAAGCCAUCGAUAUAGAAGGUGUGGCAUAUCGGCGACCUUAAUCAACAGAAUUCUGGCAGUUUUAAGUUUAUAAUUCAGUAAAUCGUUGCCAGUUGUGUAUAUUUUCUACUUCUUUUAAAUAUAUCAAAUCGAAAGCUAGGGUUUCUUUCAUCUACUGUAAUAGUUGUUUAAUCACAAGUUUUUGGUCCGAUGUUGUGUUUUGAUCAACCAUUGUUCAAUUACAUCAGUAAUUGUUUUGAAGGAUAAGGUUAAUUUAACAUGUGUAUUUCGAUUACUGGUUGAGUUUUUUGGGGUAAGACGUGAUGAAGAUUGUAGACUGGGUUGUACACAUAUGUACAGGGUGUUUUUUUAGUUAAUGGACAUGGUUUUUUUAGUUAAUGCACUGGUUCAGAAUACACAUGUGUUCUUCUUGCUCUGUUUUUUAAAAAUUAGUUCUCCUUGCUCUGUUUUUAUUUGUUUUUUUAUGUGAACUGGUUCGGAAUACACAUGUGUACAUUAGUUCUUCUUGCUCUGUUGAUUUUACACUUGUGAAUUAUGCUGAACUGGUUCAGAAUACACAUGUCUUCUUGCUCUGUUUUUACAAAUUAGUUCUUCUUGCUAUGAUUUUAUUUGUUUUUUUUAUGUGAACUGGUUCGGAAUACUCAUGUGUACAUAAGAAUUACCGAUGUGUUUAUUGCUCUGUGUAAACUAGUAGAUAUACACGUGUGUAUUAUAAUGUUGAUAUUGAAUUGGGGAAAAAGUUUAUUUUUAUUUGCGAAAAGGGACUAGUGUGUGUAAACACAUAUGUACAGGGUGUUUAACGUAUACAGUGGACUUUAGGUUCAUCUUUAUCUCCAUGUAAUUUUUAUUCGGUACUUCUUUACAAGCAAAAUAGAUGUCACAUAAAUCAAUUAUCAUGGCAUGCUUGGUAACUAUCCCGUGAGUAAAAAAAAAGAUGUCUGUGCAAAUAUAAUUGAUUAUGGACAGACAAUUGAUCUGACCUCUGAACUAGUAUUCGUAUUCUCUUCUUAUUCAUAAUUUGUUAUACUAGUAUUCGUAUUCUCUUCUUAUUCAUAAUAAUUGAUUAUGGACAGACAAUUGAUCUGAACUCUGAACUUGUAUGCAUCCACGAUUCUGCAAGACCUUUGGUGCUAGUGAUGCAGAAAAGGUUCUGAAUGAUGGGUUGCGAGUGGUAGCAUCAGUACUUGGUGUUCCUGCUAAAGCUACUAUUAUAGAGGCUUAACCUGAAAGGCGACAGAAAAACUAGUUGAUGACAAGCGUCACGGGUUAUUCGGCGUGAAUCUUUUUGUGCUUUGUUCAUAUUCGUAAUCGCUUGUUAGUAAUCAAAAUCAAGAAUUGUUUCAAAAGAUUGUUGGGAUAUUUUAGUACCUGUAUGUGUUUUGUUUGACUAAUUAAUUUAAUUGUUUUUAAAUGAAGGAUGGGUUGUUAUUUCUGAAUC